CUCGCCAAUACGAUAGCUUACGGAUCGGGUCUGGCUGGCGGGCAUCGAUGCAAUUCGAUCCAUUGAAGCGCCGCGAGUUCAUCACGCUGCUCGGCGGCGCGGCGGCCGCGUCUUCGCCGCAUUAUCCGCUCGCGGCGCGAGCGCAGCAGCCGAUGCCGGUAGUCGGGUUUCUCAACAACGCAUCACCCGGUCCUUACGCGCGCAUGGUGAAUCAGUUCCACCAAGGCCUACGCGAAACCGGUUAUGUCGAGGGCCGAAACGUUGUGAUG
This 269-nucleotide unclassified non-coding RNA is filed under the name uncultured Ascomycota. RNAcentral's name for it is "sequence contains ITS1". Lineage: Eukaryota; Fungi; Ascomycota. The record is from RNAcentral.